GAACCAGCGGAGGGAUCAUUA
RNAcentral lists this ribosomal RNA (21 nucleotides) under Colletotrichum acutatum. RNAcentral's name for it is "partial 18S ribosomal RNA". Lineage: Eukaryota; Fungi; Ascomycota; Sordariomycetes; Glomerellales; Glomerellaceae. The record is from RNAcentral. RNAcentral also lists the same sequence under 18 other names.